AAGAAUUUCAAUACAGUGACCACAGAGCAUUAGCACCCAAGCAGGACCUGCUGAACCUGGGGCCCUAUAGGAGAGCACUGAUGGCCCACCCCUGAUUGUGGCCCUGGUCUUCAUGUCUGCAUCAGCCUCAGCCAUCUCAAGACCACAACAGGAACAUAGCCAAGUCAGAGAAGGAAGACCAAAAGCACCAGGGCCCUUCAUAUUAUUAAGCUGCUAAAUUAACUAAUCUUGGAAACUUCUAGACUCUACAAUUCUUGUUGUAUGAGGUAAUAAACCCCUCGUUUUAUAGGUCAUUUUGGGGGGUUCUUUUAUUAAUCACAACUAAAGCAUUUUAACUGAUAGGAAAGACCACAUAUUGGUGAAAAAGGUCUACAGAGGGACCAGCAGGAGAUGGUAAAGCUAAAGGAGUUUUGCUCUAAUGUUCAAAUCCAUGUCACCUGCCCUAGAGAAUGCUGUUCCUGCUUUUCCCUAGCCACUGUGCUGGGCAUGAGAGGCCCCCUGUCCUCCUUGGGCCCAGAGAACAGAAAAUGUCUUCACUUAUACUCUACUCCCUCACAUUCCUCCACUCUUGGAAGGUUUAACAAGUUCAAGAGAGAAGAUAUUGGCCAAAUACAACACAGAGGCUAAACACAACACCUAUGUUGAUUGUUUGGUGCAUAAGAAUUGAGAUGAUGGAAAGAGGUCACUGUGAGCUUCAGGAAUAGCUUGAGGCUAACUGAUAAAACAGAGUGGAUUGACAAUUAUUCUCUGGACUUUUUGGUAACCAAGAACUUCUAGCAACUAACCCUGGCAUGACCACCAGAAUCUGCAGGGCUGAGAGAAGAAAGAAAGGCAAAAGUGGAUGAAUGCAGCUGAAGAUGCUGUGGAACUCCUAUCACAUUCCAAGUGCUGUGUUGAUAUCUGGAGAUAUAGACAAGAUCGAAGCAGAUGCAGUCUUUCACAUGAAUAUUUGAAUCAGGCAGUAUGUUCCCCAAAUUAGCAAAGUAUCUCCCAGAUUUUUUCUUUGAUGAUAUAUUUGAAAUCCUAAUGCUGAAAGUUAAAUUAUCAGGGUUUUAAAACUAGAAGCAGUCAUUAUCAGAAUUUUAUAUACUAUUUAUUUUUAAGAACGUAAUUUGACUGUUUAAGUCUUAUUAUAAUUUUAAGUGAAGUACUUUGGGCAGUCAUAAAUAAAGUAAUGGGCAGGUAUUUAGUAUUCAUAUUGUGUGGAUUCAUAUCCAUACUCUGCCACUCAGUAUCUCUGGGAUUUUGAUGAAUGAUCAAACUCUCUGAGCCUCAGUUUUCUAAUCUGUAAAGCAGAAAUGAUAAUGGUAUGUAGUGAUAAUUAAACAAUUUACUAGUUGUAAGUGCUUAGAACAGUUCCUGGAAUAGAGAAAAUUUGCAGAGAGAUUUUUAUUGUUUACAAUUUAGUUAAUGGAAUGGCUUCAAUAAUACAGUAAAAUUAAGAUAUUCAAACAAGCAGGAUGCAGGUGAUGGGUAUUGGCCUCAGCUUUAGAGACCAGAGGUUAAAUCUCAGUGCUGCCUGCCACAAAACGAUCCAUGUAAGUCAAUAAACAAUGCUUUUUAAA
Long non-coding RNA from Homo sapiens (human), 1565 nucleotides. Ensembl annotates it as long intergenic non-protein coding RNA 2612. The record is from Ensembl. Lineage: Eukaryota; Metazoa; Chordata; Mammalia; Primates; Hominidae.